Molecule: unclassified non-coding RNA, 341 nt
Filed under: soil metagenome
Description: partial contains 5.8S ribosomal RNA, internal transcribed spacer 2, and large subunit ribosomal RNA
Rfam family: 5.8S ribosomal RNA (bases 1-120)
Source: RNAcentral
GAUGAAGAACGUAGCGAAAUGCGACAAGUAAUGUGAAUUGCAGAAUUCAGUGAAUCAUCGAAUCUUUGAACGCACAUUGCGCCCUUUGGUAUUCCAAAGGGCAUGCCUGUUCGAGCGUCAUUUGUACCCUCAAGCUUUGCUUGGUGUUGGGCGUCUUGUCUCUAGCUUUGCUGGAGACUCGCCUUAAAGUAAUUGGCAGCCGGCCUACUGGUUUCGGAGCGCAGCACAAGUCGCACUCUCUAUCAGCAAAGGUCUAGCAUCCACUAAGCCUUUUUUUCAACUUUUGACCUCGGAUCAGGUAGGGAUACCCGCUGAACUUAAGCAUAUCAAUAAGCGGAGGA